This 85-nucleotide transfer RNA is filed under the name bacterium. Its description in RNAcentral is "tRNA-Leu". It matches the Rfam family "tRNA". From Rfam's summary of the family: Transfer RNA (tRNA) molecules are approximately 80 nucleotides in length. Their secondary structure includes four short double-helical elements and three loops (D, anti-codon, and T loops). The record is from RNAcentral.
GCCGGGGUGGCGGAAUGGCAGACGCGUGCGCCUCAAAAGCGCAUGGUAGGCAACUAUCAUGUGGGUUCGACUCCCUCCCCCGGCA